This is a long non-coding RNA of Mastomys coucha (southern multimammate mouse), 3792 nucleotides long. RefSeq lists it as uncharacterized. The record is from RefSeq and is a predicted model, not a curated record. NCBI's taxonomy places the organism in Eukaryota, Metazoa, Chordata, Mammalia, Rodentia, Muridae. The transcript is spliced from 5 exons.
UUUUUAAUGAUUAGAGCAGUUAUUUUUAUUUUAGUGUUUUCUGUAUUCAGCAUGUGCUUAUUUUGCACUGAAUCAAUGUAAAGGGCGGGAGCAGCCUUUAUUGUUCUUUUGUUUUACUUUAUUUUAUAUUUUUUGGCAAGGUCUCAUGCAGCCCAAGUUGGCCUCAAACUCAUUGUGUAGAUGAGGCUGAUCUUAAAUCCUUGUUCCUCCUGCCUCAGCUUCUCAAAAGCUGGCAUUACCGGUAUAUGGCAUCAUACUUGUUUUUUAAGGCCUUCUAGAGGUGUGAUUGACAACUAAGAAUCAGAUCUGUUUUAAACGUCUGCUUUACGGGAGGGAGUUUUCAUCUGGCAUUAUGGUCUGUGAGGCAAGGAGCACAGGGAGCGGUUGGUCUGGCCACAGGGGCACAGGGAGCGGUUGGUCUGGCCACAGGGGCACAGGGAGCGGUUGGUCUGGCCACAGGGGCACAGGGAGCGGUUGGUCUGGCCACAGGGGCACAGGGAGCGGUUGGUCUGGCCACAGGGGCACAGGGAGCGGUUGGUCUGGCCACGGGGACACAGGGAGCGGUUGGUCUGGCCACGGGGGCACAGGGAGCGGUUGGUCUGGCCACAGGGGCCUGUGGAGGCGGGCUGCCGUGUAGCACAGUGGGCCGAAGCAGAAGGCUCUCCGUGUGUGUACACGGUGACACGUUUAUCACAGCCAGACCCUUAACACAGUCAUCUCUUCACACAGAGCUCACUUCCCCGUCCCCAUCUCCCUUGCUAUCUUUAUCCCUUUAAUCUCCGUCUCUGUGCUAACAACACUGGACUGCUUCCUUCGAGGGUUUCACGCAUGACUGACGUCUCCACGCAAUCAAUACCUCACAGCUACAACUUACUCACCUCGUAAGAAGUCAGGGUCCUUUUGCCCUCCCCUCCCCCAACUCCUGGUCACCAGCGUCCAUUGUUCCUAAGCCUAUGUGACACGCUUGGGGCUUUGGAAGGAACUUGGUUUGUCAUCUUGGCCAAUGACCUCCUCAGGGUGGGGUCCUGCUCUUCCAGGUCUCUCAGACACGGAUCUCCAGAUGUCUGGUGCCAGGGUGUACUGACAUGGCCCCUUCUUCAACACUGAAGCCUUCAUUCCUGCACCCGUGUUGGCUGCUCACAGUCACAGCUGUGUGAAUUUGACCACAGAGAGCUGUGUGCGGCUUGAGACUCUGGAAGGAUAAGGCACGACCCAGAGAAAAGAAGGAAGAAGCUGGAUCUUCUGAGUGACUUACCUUCAGGGUUGAUACAGUUCUCACGCCUCCCCAGACUUGAGCACCACAGACGAACAGAAGCCCUGGUGUCAGGUGUUUCCUCAGAGACCCUGCGUGUGACACCUGUUCACACAAGGGCCUUGCAUGGAACGCGGUCUCAGUCAACUCAUGAGAACAUGGCUGGACUCACAAAGAUUAUGUUCUACCAGCUGAAUGUAUGUGUGCUUGUGUGUGUGUGUGUGUGUGUCUGUGUGUGGUUAUGUAGUCCAAAGGCCAAUAUCUUCACUUUCACCUUAUUUUUAAAGACAGGUCUUCUCAAUGAAACUGGAACUUAACAAUUGGCUAGACUGGCUGGCCAGCAGGCCCAGGGGCUCCUCCCAUCUCUAUCUCCACGUACUGGGAUCUCAGGCAUUUCCUGUAGAUGUGUUUUUGUUUUUUGCUUGUCUGUUGUUUUUUUUUGUUGUUGUUGUUGUUUGUGGAUGCUGGGGAUCUGAAUUCAGGCUCUUAUUGCUUGUGUGGCAAACUCUUUAUUGAUGGAGCCAUUUCUCCAGCCCCCCCCCCCCCCACACACCCGCACCUCUUUGCUCCUUCCUUUCAACAAGGCCUCAUUCUGGAAUCUAGGUUGCUUUCACACUCCUGCGUCUGUGGAGUGCUGGGUACAGGUGUGUACGAUCACUUCUGGCUUAAAGUAUGUGCAUGCCUUCCCACUUCAGACCCACCAGAGCCUCGGUACCCUAGGACCGUGCGGGCCUCUCUGACAUUUGUGAGCCACACCCUCAUCUUUAACACUGUGUCUCUGAGGGGAGUAAGCACUCACUCAGGACAGAACAGCCAGCAUGAGAGGGGAAUGGAGAGCCAAGAGGAGUCUGUUCCUACGGACAGGAAAUAUGGGAAUGUUAGAUAUCACUUUGUCCAGUGAGGCCAACCUCAUGGGCCAGGUAGCCUGACUAGUUCAGACAAGAGCGAAGGAGGCCAUGGAGGAGCAUGGAGAAAUGACGUGGAUGAACAGCCUUGAUUUUUUGAGCUGGAAGAGUUGAGCAAAGACGUAACAUGGCAUGUGCACAAGGCACACACACGGAAUGUCCAGGAGGAUGCUUGUCUGCAGUCUGGGUUAUACACAGGGGAUGUCGACAGCCUAGCAUGGCUGCCAUGCCAGCCAGUGUCUAAGUGUGCAGGGAUUUGGAUAACAUCAGGAGCCUAACUGGCAGAACGCCCCUCCUCCCGAAUUGGGACAAAUAAGAGACCGAAACAAGAGGAACUGGAAGGUGUGAGGCUGUGAAGUAGGGUCCUAGGACAGGGAGGGAGGGAGUGCUGUGGCCAGUCCCUGCCAGCGUACCUCUCAUCUGUGAAGAACACCCUCUCAGCCCUCACUCUCAGCUGCCAGGGGCCUCCCUACCCCACUACCCCACCCCCACCCCCAGGGCAUUUUUACUGUGGGGCUUCUCUCUGUUCUUUUCCCCACUUCUUGGCCACAGCCCUCACCACUUGCUCCAAGUCAGUCUCUCUGGUUAUUUAUAAUCUGUCUGGAGGUCAGAGCCCUCUGGAAAGCAGGUGCUCGGUAGGGAGACCACAGUUUCCCAGGCGGCCCCGGGCCAUGAGCUGUCAGCUGAAGCCUCCACGUGAACGCUGAAGGUAUGGGGCCAAGGUCAUAAUAUGGUUUAUCUCUCUGCCUGAGUUAGCUGGCUAACUCCGCUGGCAGUGCUGGGAAGGCACCUAUUACAUCUGGUUCCGCCCAGGGCUGUGCCCCACAGGAAAGCCUGAGAGAAGGAAAGAGUAAACUCCACUUCAACCUUGGGUCCUCACAUGGCCCCGCACAUUCUUCUCAAAGGCAGGGCUGGCCUGCAGCUGAUGUUCCUUUCCAGAAUGCCUCCUGGGCCACCAGCCCACAUGGCCCACACCAUCUUUGUCUGAGGAAGCUGACUCAAGGUGAAAACUUCGCUGAGGACACCUGUCAUGUGACUCUUCACAAUGCUACAGAGCGGGGUGCUACUAGCUGCACUCCGCAGAUGGCACCAAGAGUCAGAGGAGUGUGACAACAAGGGACAUGCCCAGAGACGUGCCAGGGGCUGCUGCGGGACACAGGACACCAGAGGAUGUUGGUGACAUGAGCCACCAUGUAUCCAAGACUCCAUGUUCAAGACAACGCUCAUGAGCAGUGAGCAUGAAUGACACUUCUGGGCAGGAGCUUGUCUGGAGAAUUUGGCUGAGGGUAUUUCUGGGGGUCUGGAGAGGCCAAUGGGAUUUUCACCAUGGGACCGUGGGAAUCAGUAGAGACCCCAGGCUUUGCAGGAAUCUCCCAUCUCCCACCUGACCUCCCAGAUCUAAGGCACGUUAAGAUUGUUAUGAAUGACUUAAACUGGACGGGAAGGACCCCUGCAGUGAGAGGCUGGGAAACGCAGGAGGCAUAGGCUGAAUGUGCCUUUCCAGUGAGCUAAGCUCAACAGCAGGGCACAGCAGCUGCUUGGAGGGGCCCACCUAGACCCCUCAUUUGUGGAGAAAUCAGGUCCUGAGGAAGCUGGUUCAUCUAUCUGUCAAGGCCAGAGGAGACUUCUCAUUAG